This 147-nucleotide unclassified non-coding RNA is filed under the name uncultured Dothideomycetes. RNAcentral's name for it is "sequence contains ITS2". Lineage: Eukaryota; Fungi; Ascomycota; Dothideomycetes. The record is from RNAcentral.
AAACUCUCAAGCUAUGCUUGGUAUUGAAAGAUGUCUUUUAGGGACACUUUCGUAACCCGUCAGGCGGGAUCGUCCGGCUUCAAGCGUAGCAAGUCAUUCGCUUAGUUGUCCUUACGUUCCUUUGCCUUUUAAUUCUUAUCUUUCUAA